CGACCGGCGCACGGGUGAGUAACACGUAUCCAACCUGCCGUCUACUCUUGGACAGCCUUCUGAAAAGGAAGAUUAAUACAAGACGGCAUCAUGAGUCCGCAUGUUCACAUGAUUAAAGGUAUUCCGGUAGACGAUGGGGAUGCGUUCCAUUAGAUAGUAGGCGGGGUAACGGCCCACCUAGUCUUCGAUGGAUAGGGGUUCUGAGAGGAAGGUCCCCCACAUUGGAACUGAGACACGGUCCAAACUCCUACGGGAGGCAGCAG
This 263-nucleotide ribosomal RNA is filed under the name uncultured bacterium. RNAcentral's name for it is "partial 16S ribosomal RNA". It matches the Rfam family "Bacterial small subunit ribosomal RNA", at positions 92 to 354 of the family's 1533-position model. The record is from RNAcentral.